RNAcentral lists this ribosomal RNA (497 nucleotides) under uncultured bacterium. RNAcentral's name for it is "partial 16S ribosomal RNA". It matches the Rfam family "Bacterial small subunit ribosomal RNA", at positions 28 to 507 of the family's 1533-position model. The record is from RNAcentral.
GAUGAACGCUGGCGGCGUGCCUAAUACAUGCAAGUCGAGCGAACAGACGAGGAGCUUGCUCCUCUGACGUUAGCGGCGGACGGGUGAGUAACACGUGGAUAACCUACCUAUAAGACUGGGAUAACUUCGGGAAACCGGAGCUAAUACCGGAUAAUAUAUUGAACCGCAUGGUUCAAUAGUGAAAGACGGUUUUGCUGUCACUUUUAGAUGGAUCCGCGCCGCAUUAGCUAGUUGGUAAGGUAACGGCUUACCAAGGCAACGAUGCGUAGCCGACCUGAGAGGGUGAUCGGCCACACUGGAACUGAGACACGGUCCAGACUCCUACGGGAGGCAGCAGUAGGGAAUCUUCCGCAAUGGGCGAAAGCCUGACGGAGCAACGCCGCGUGAGUGAUGAAGGUCUUCGGAUCGUAAAACUCUGUUAUUAGGGAAGAACAAAUGUGUAAGUAACUAUGCACGUCUUGACGGUACCUAAUCAGAAAGCCACGGCUAACUACGUG